GAUGAACGCUGGCGGCGUGCCUAAUACAUGCAAGUCGAGCGAACGGACGAGAAGCUUGCUUCUCUGAUGUUAGCGGCGGACGGGUGAGUAACACGUGGAUAACCUACCUAUAAGACUGGGAUAACUUCGGGAAACCGGAGCUAAUACCGGAUAAUAUUUUGAACCGCAUGGUUCAAAAGUGAAAGACGGUCUUGCUGUCACUUAUAGAUGGAUCCGCGCUGCAUUAGCUAGUUGGUAAGGUAACGGCUUACCAAGGCAACGAUGCAUAGCCGACCUGAGAGGGUGAUCGGCCACACUGGAACUGAGACACGGUCCAGACUCCUACGGGAGGCAGCAGUAGGGAAUCUUCCGCAAUGGGCGAAAGCCUGACGGAGCAACGCCGCGUGAGUGAUGAAGGUCUUCGGAUCGUAAAACUCUGUUAUUAGGGAAGAACAUAUGUGUAAGUAACUGUGCACAUCUUGACGGUACCUAAUCAGAAAGCCACGGCUAACUACGUGCCAGCAGCCGCGGUAAUACGUAGGUGGCAAGCGUUAUCCGGAAUUAUUGGGCGUAAAGCGCGCGUAGGCGGUUUUUUAAGUCUGAUGUGAAAGCCCACGGCUCAACCGUGGAGGGUCAUUGGAAACUGGAAAACUUGAGUGCAGAAGAGGAAAGUGGAAUUCCAUGUGUAGCGGUGAAAUGCGCAGAGAUAUGGAGGAACACCAGUGGCGAAGGCGACUUUCUGGUCUGUAACUGACGCUGAUGUGCGAAAGCGUGGGGAUCAAACAGGAUUAGAUACCCUGGUAGUCCACGCCGUAAACGAUGAGUGCUAAGUGUUAGGGGGUUUCCGCCCCUUAGUGCUGCAGCUAACGCAUUAAGCACUCCGCCUGGGGAGUACGACCGCAAGGUUGAAACUCAAAGGAAUUGACGGGGACCCGCACAAGCGGUGGAGCAUGUGGUUUAAUUCGAAGCAACGCGAAGAACCUUACCAAAUCUUGACAUCCUUUGACAACUCUAGAGAUAGAGCCUUCCCCUUCGGGGGACAAAGUGACAGGUGGUGCAUGGUUGUCGUCAGCUCGUGUCGUGAGAUGUUGGGUUAAGUCCCGCAACGAGCGCAACCCUUAAGCUUAGUUGCCAUCAUUAAGUUGGGCACUCUAAGUUGACUGCCGGUGGCAAACCGGAGGAAGGUGGGGAUGACGUCAAAUCAUCAUGCCCCUUAUGAUUUGGGCUACACACGUGCUACAAUGGACAAUACAAAGGGCAGCGAAACCGCGAGGUCAAGCAAAUCCCAUAAAGUUGUUCUCAAUUCGGAUUGUAGUCUGCAACUCGACUACAUGAAGCUGGAAUCGCUAGUAAUCGUAGAUCAGCAUGCUACGGUGAAUACGUUCCCGGGUCU
RNAcentral lists this ribosomal RNA (1372 nucleotides) under uncultured bacterium. Its description in RNAcentral is "bacterial SSU rRNA". It matches the Rfam family "Bacterial small subunit ribosomal RNA", at positions 28 to 1381 of the family's 1533-position model. The record is from RNAcentral.